UAUCCUCCUUCUCAAGUUAUACCUAUUCUAACCCAAAAAAAUACCCCGCACACCCAAAAAAGGCAAAGGCAAGUCAUGUGAUCGUGAUGACCUGGUGUCCAUUGUUGGUCCAAGCUUCAAAAAAAAAAUUUGAUAGAAGCGUUGAAAGGUAAAGGACUUUCAAAGAAGCACAAACAGUCAUUGUGCUUGGUUUAGUUUGUACAUAAUAUUCUUUGGGCGAG
Molecule: long non-coding RNA, 221 nt
Filed under: Capsicum annuum
Lineage: Eukaryota; Viridiplantae; Streptophyta; Magnoliopsida; Solanales; Solanaceae
Description: long non-coding RNA (CANN_LNC019318)
Source: RNAcentral